AAAAGGUUACUGAGGUACCAGAUCUUGUACAGAAGUCCAUGAAUCAUCAAUUUGGUUUCCUAAAUAUUUUCUUUCUUUCUUGCAGCUGAACCUGUAUCUUGUCCUGCUUCCACUUGAUGGUCAAAGUGUGCCUAAACUGGAAAAGCCCUACCACAGUUGCCUGCCAACACUAUCUAUUCGACAUCUCUGCCAGUUUGUUGCUCUCCAGUUGUCUCGACAACCCAAAGAAGUCGAGAUAUAUAUCAGGAAAAGCAAGGAUGCAUGCUUGUCAGCCAAUUACACUCGUAAAUACGAGACAAAGCCAGAACAACCUAAUGGUUUAGAGAGACUGUGGGAAGAGAAUUCUCUUUCGGAUCUCUACCCUUCCCUCGCCACCUGUCAAAGGAGAUCUGGCCCAUGCUAUUCUAUUGGACCCUUGUGCUCUGGUUCUGGAAUAUCUACAGAGAGACAUUAUUUGCUUCCUUCACAUUUUAGAGGUACCAAAGGCUUUUCUAGCAACAGUCCUACUAUUUCAUUUUGUCACCUUAAAAAAGAGAAUGAAUGUUAUUUGAUUCUUCACACAAUGCGAUGUUUUCUUCACACAGUAGUACUUGAAGGUACCCAAUGGUGUCGGUAAGGAUUUUGUCAUCAACAAUGGUGCAUGCUCUUGUUCCACGGAUUUGGGAUGUUUUAUUCUCUACUUGCUUUCCUGCUUAUAGAUUUGGUUGUCCUCAAAUGGUUUCACCUAAUACAUUUUCUGCCUUUACUGGCUUUUAAUCUCUCUCUACUGAUUUGUUUUAUGCUUGCAGAUGAAGUGAUUCCCUCGCGGUUGUGUCCUUCACAAAGGAAGGAUGUAAAGCCACACUCUUAUCAUGCAACAAACUAGAGCUGUGACACAACUAUAACAGAGGAAUCAUCGCCCAUUAGCACACUAAAAUUGGCACAUACAGAGAACGCGCCUGCGGAGUGGGAUUAUCUGAACAUAGAGGCCAACACACUUGAAAGGGAAAUGUGCCCUUGGGCCAUUUCUAAGUAUUUUGGUGAUU
Molecule: RNA transcript, 1025 nt
Organism: Zea mays
Lineage: Eukaryota; Viridiplantae; Streptophyta; Magnoliopsida; Poales; Poaceae
Exons: 4
Source: RefSeq, a predicted model, not a curated record